AUUUAAAAACCCCCUAAGGGAGGGGGGACCAACUCCCCCGCCGAAAGCAAUUGGCCCCUUAAAAGGAAGGCGGUUAAGUUGUAUACCCUUUACAUUACCGCUAAAAUAAAAUGUUUUAUAUUACUUGUAAUAUAAUUUUGAAAAUUUAGUGAGUAGGAAGGUACAAUUGUGUGCAUAGAAGUGUUUGGCGUAAGCCUGCAUGGAGCCGCUAUUGGUACAGAUCCUUGGUGGUAGUAGCAAAAUAAUCGAAUGAGACCUUGGAGGACUGAAGUGGAGAAGGGUUUCGUGUGAACAGUGGUUGAUCACGAGUUAGUCGGUCCUAAGUUCAAGGCGAAAGCCGAAAAUUUUCAAGUAAAGAAAAAUCUAAAUAUAUUUGUCAUCUAACCGAUUUUUAUACACUUGAAUAAUUUUGAACGAAAGGGAAUACGGUUCCAAUUCCGUAACCUGUUGAGUAUCCGUUUGUUAUUAAAUAUGGGCCUCGUGCUCAUCCUGGCAACAGGAACGACCAUAAAGAAGCCGUCGAGAGGUAUCGGAAGAGUUUUCUUUUCUGUUUUAUAGCCGUACUACCAUGGAAGUCUUUCGCAGAGAGAUAUGGUAGAUGGGCUAGAAGAGCAUGACAUAUACUGUUGUGUCGAUAUUUUCUCCUCGGACCUUGAAAAUUUAUGGUGGGGACACGCAAACUUCUCAACAGGCCGUACCAAUAUCCGCAGCUGGUCUCCAAGGUGAAGAGUCUCUAGUCGAUAGAAUAAUGUAGGUAAGGGAAGUCGGCAAAUUAGAUCCGUAACUUCGGGAUAAGGAUUGGCUCUGAAGAUUGAGAUAGUCGGGCUUGAUUGGGAAACAAUAACAUGGUUUAUGUGCUCGUUCUGGGUAAAUAAAGUUUCUAUCAUUUAUGGUAGUUUCUUGUUCCCCGGAUAGUUUAGUUACGUAGCCAAUUGUGGAACUUUCUUGCUAAAAUUUUUAAGAAUACUAGUUGGGCUACCAAUUAGUUCUUUUAAAUUAUAACGAUUAUCAAUU
Molecule: non-coding RNA, 1014 nt
Filed under: Drosophila virilis
Lineage: Eukaryota; Metazoa; Arthropoda; Insecta; Diptera; Drosophilidae
Description: Eukaryotic large subunit ribosomal RNA
Rfam family: Eukaryotic large subunit ribosomal RNA
Source: Rfam by way of RNAcentral